GUGGUCAGCGCCGGAUUUAAACUAAAUCCGUGGUGAAUGCCCCUGUGCGGAGGCGCGUACUGGUACCUAUCUUGCCUACAGGCUGUCCACGCGAGUAGAAAUGACCAGUUUUCUGCUCACCGGGAGGCACCCGGCACCACAUACAUACAACGACAUUCUAUUUCAUACUUUCUUUCCCUUAAGGCUGCCAUAGAUGGUGGCCUUUUUUUUACC
Molecule: non-coding RNA, 213 nt
Organism: Trabulsiella guamensis ATCC 49490
Lineage: Bacteria; Pseudomonadati; Pseudomonadota; Gammaproteobacteria; Enterobacterales; Enterobacteriaceae
Source: Rfam